UUCUUUCUACACUUAAUCAUAUGCUCUUUUUUUUUUUCUUGUCAUUUAGGACACCAUCAUAGGUUAUAUCUCGAUUUAUUCUUUGCUCAUUUGGUUUUUCAUCAUUGGGACACCAUCCUAAGAUGUAUCUAUGUUUCUUCUUUAUUACAUUUGUUUCUCAUCAUUGGGAAACCAUUCUAGUUUCUAUCUCAGUUUAUUCUAUGUUCAUUCUCAAUUUAAUAUUUGUUUCAUUUGAUUUCUAAUUAUUCGGAUGUCAUUCUAGGUUCUAAGUAUCUUUUCUAUUAUGUUUGUUUCUAAUUAUUGGGACAUCGUCCUAAGUUUUUUCUUUUUUCAUUUGGUUUCAUAUAUCAUUGGAAAGAUGAUAGGUUCAAUAUAAGCUUAAUAUUUUGUCUAUUUGGUUUCUCAUCAUUGCGACACCCUCCUAGGUUCUAUCUAGGUUUCCUCGUAUUUCUUCUUGUUUCUCAUCAUUAGGACACCAUCCUAUGUUCUAUGUUAGUUUAUUCUUUGUUUAUUUCAUUUCUCAUCAUUGGAACGUCAUCCUAGGUUUUAUCCAUGUUUCUUCUUUUUUCCUUUAGUUUCUCAUCUUCGCUACACUAUCCUACGUUUUAUCUCCGUUUUCUCUUUAUCUUUAAGAUGGAUUCUUAUGAGUGGUGCGCUUUAUUAAUACUUCUUAUCUUUAAAGGGAGAAAUUUCUUAUCGUUUUAGUGGCGAACUUAUGUUGUUAACUUACCGUUUUAUUUCCUGAAAAUGGUAUCACCUCCAAAGGAUGAGUGGUUUUUAAUAAUCUCCAAGACCUCUAUGAUCUUUUUGCCCGAAUCUCUAACCUUCAAAGGGUUAUAAGGUAAGUAUUUAGAGGCAAAAGCCAUGAGGAUUUUGGUAUCUAAGGGUUUCCAAAUUAGAGUUGAAUUUAAAUUCAUUUCUAAACUGAACAGGACUUUUCUUGCCAAUUAAGAGAACUAAAACCACUUGAGUUGGAUUAACCGCUUAAACACUUUUUAGAUGUACGUUUGAUUGCACAACAACUCUUGAAUUUUGAUGGAGAGAAAGCCAAUAUGUAAAAAGAUUUCUAUGUUCAAAUAAAAAUUAGAACAAAAUUCCCAACACAAAAACAAGAGUCAAUAUCGAACAAGGUUAUCGAAGAAUUCGACUCUGUACGAAUUUAACUCAUAAUCACUAUCACUAUUAGAAUCAUUCAUGGAUACAACAAAAGCUAACAUGUCAUUGGGAUUGUACCUUGCAUCUUCAAAAGUUAUAGAAGCACUGUCCUAUCUAAAUUUAAUAGUUUGUUCCUUUGGUUUCUCAUCGUUUGGCAACCAUCCAAGGUUUUAUGGAAGUUUAUUCUUUCUCCCUUUGGUUUCUCAUCUUUGGGAAGAAUUCGUAGGUUCUAUCUCAGGUCAUUCACUGUUUCCUUUGGUUUGUCAUCAUUGGGACGCCCCGUAGAACCUAUCUAUGUUUAAUUAUUUGUUUCUUUAAUGUCUCAUAGUUUGGGCACCAUCCUAGGUUCUAUUUAAGUUUAUUCUUCAAUCCUUCUAUUUCUAUUAUUGGAACGCGAUCUAGGUUUUAUCUAAGUUCAUUUGUUUGUUGCAUUCGUUUUUCAUCAUUGGGACAACUUUUUAGGUUCUAUCUAAAGCUUAUUCCUUUUUUCAAUUUGUAACUAAUCAUUGGGACAUGAUCCUUUGGUUUCUUAUCGUUUGGACAACAUCUAGGUUUUAUGGAAGUUUAUUCUUUCUCCCUUUGGUUUCUCAUCUUUGGGACGACAUUGUAGCUUCUUUCUAAGGUCAUUCAUUCUUUCCUUGGGUUUGUCAUCAUUGGGACGCCCCCUAGGCCCUAUCUAAGCUUAAUUUUUUGUUUCUUUAAUUUCUCAUCAUUUGGACACCAUCUUAGGUUCUAUCUAUGUUUAUUCUUCAUCUCUUUUGUUUCUUAUCGUUGGAACACCAUCUAGGUUUAAUCUAAGUUCAUUUUUUUGUUCCACUCGUUUUUCAUCAUUGGGACAGCUUUCUAGGUUCUAUCUAAGCCAUUCCUUUUUCCCAUUGGUAACUAAUCAUUGGGACAUGAUCUUUUCGUUUCUCAUUCUUUGGAAACCAUCUAGGUUUUAUGGAAGUUUAUUCUUUCUCCAUUUGGUUUCUUAUCUUUGGGACGAGAUCGUACGUUCUUUGUAAGGUCAUUCAUUCUUUACUUUGGUUUGUCAUCAUUAGGAUGCGCCCUAGGCCCUAUGUAAGCUUUAUUGUUUUUUCGUUUAAUUUCUCAUCGUUUAGACCAUGUCUUAGGUUCUAUCUAUGUUUAUUCUUCAUCCCUUUUGUUUCCUAUCAUUGGAACGUGAUCUAGGUAUUAUCUAAGUUCAUUUGUUUGUUCCACUCAUUUUUCAUAAAUGGGACAGCAUUCUGGGUUCUAUCUAAGGUCAUUCCUUUUUUCCAUUUGUAACUACUCGUUGGGACUUUUGCCUUUGGUUUCUCAUUGUUUGGACACCAUCUAGGUUUGACGGAUGUUUAUUCUUUCUCCAUUUGGUUUCUCAUUUUUUGAAGACAUCGUAUGUUCUUUCUAAGGUGAUUCAUUCUUUAGUCUGGUUUGUCAUCAUUGGGACGCCCCCUAGGCCCUAUCUAAGCUCAAUUAUUUGUUACUUUAAUUUCUCAUCGUUUGGACAACAUCCUAGGUUCUAUCUAUGUUUAUUCUUCAUCCCUUUUCUUUCCUAUGAUUGGAACACCAUUUAGGUUUUAUCUAAGUUCAUUAUUUUUUUUCCACUCGUUUUUCAUCACUAGGACAGCAUUCCAGGUUCUAUCGAAGGUCAUUCCUUUUUUCCAUUUGUAACUAAUCAUUGGGACAUGAUCGUUUGGUUUCUCAUGGUUUGGACACCAUCUAGGUUUUAUGGAAGUUUAUUCUCUCCCUUUGGUUUCUCAUCUUUGGGAUGACCUCAUAGGUUCUUUCUCUCAUUUAGUCUUUGGGACUUUUGCCUUUGGUUUCUCAUCGUUUGGACACCAUCUAGGUUUGAUGGAAGUUUAUUUUUCUCCAUUUGGUUUCUCAUUUUGGGACGACAUCGUAGGUUCUUUCUAAGGUGAUUCAUUCUUUACUUUGGUUUGUCAUCAUUGGGCCGCCCCCUAGGCCCUAUGUAGGCUUAAUUGUUUGUUGCUUUAAUUUCUCAUUGUUUACACACCAUCCUAUGUUCUAUCUAUGUUUAUUCUUCAUCCCUUUUGUUUCCUAUCAUUGGAACGCGUUCUAGGUUUUAUCUAAGUUCAUUUGUUUGUUCCACUCGUUUUUCAUCAUUAGGAUAACUUUCUAGGUUCUAUAUAUGCUCAUUCCAUUUUUCCAUUUUUCCAUUUGUAACUAAUCAUUGGGACACGAACCUUUUCUUUCUCACUGUUUGGACACCAUCUAGGUUUGGUGGAAGUUUAUUCUUUCUCCCUUUGGUUUCUCAUCUUUGGGACGACAUCGUAGCUUCUUUGUAAGGUCAUUCAUUCUUUCCUUUUGGUUUCUCAUCAUUGGACGUCCCGUAGGCCCUAUCAAAGCUUAAUUUUUUGUUCCUUUAAUUUCUCAUUCAUUCAUUCUUUCCUUUAAUUUUUUGUUCCUUUAUUCUUCAUCCCUUUUGGUUCCUAUUAUUGGCACAUGAUCUAAGGUUUUAUCUAAGUUCGUUUGUUAGUUCCUCUCGUUUCUCAUUAGUGGGCAACAUUCUAGGUUCUAUCUAAGGUCAUUCCUUUUUUCCAUUUGUAACUAAUCAUUGGGACAUGAACAUUUGGUUUCUCAUUGUUUGGACAUAAUCUAGGUUUAAUGGAAGUUUAUUCUUUCUCCCUUUGGUUUCUCAUCUUUGGGAUGACAUUGUAGGUUCUAUCUCAUGUGAUUCAUUCUUUCCUUUGGUUUGUCAUCAUUAGGACACACCGUAGGCUUUAUCUAAGCUUAAUUAUUUGUUUCUUUAAUUUCUCAUCGUUUGGACACCAUCCUCGGUUCUAUGUUUAUUCUUCAUCCCUUUUGUUUCCUAUGAUUGGAACACGAUCUAGGUUUUAUCCAAGUUCAUUGGUUUGUUCCACUCGUUUUUCAUCACUGGGACAGCUUUCUAGGUUCUAUCUAGGCUCAUUCCCUUUUUCUAUUUGUAACUAAUCAUUGGGACAUGAUCCUUUGGUUUAUAAUUGUUUGGAAACUAUCCAGGUUUUAUGGAAGUUUAUUCUUUCUCCAUUUGGUUUCUCAUCUUUGGGAUGACAUCGUAGGCUCUAUUUAAGGUCAUUCAUUCUUUCCUUUGGUUUGUCAUCAUUAGGACGCCCCAUAGACCCUAUGGAAGUUUAGACGCAAUCAAGGUUUGCUCGAAGUUUAUUCUUUCUCCCUUUGGUUUCUCAUCUUUCUGACGACAUCGUAGGUUCUAAGGUCAUUGAUGCUUUCCUUUAGUUUGUCUUCAUUGGCACGCCUCCUAGGCCCUAUCUAAGCUUAAUUAUUUGUUCCUUUAACUUCUCAUCGUUUAGACACUAUCCUGGGUUCUAUCUAUGUUUAUUCUUCAUCUCUUUUGUUUCCUAUCGUUGGAUUGCGAUCUAGGUUUUAUCUAAGUUCAUUUGUUUGUUCCACUUGUUUUUCAUCUUUGGGACAACUUUCUAGGUUGUAUCUAAGCUCAUUCCUUUUUUCCAUUUGUACUAAUCAUUGGGACAUGAUCCUUUGGAUUCUCAUCGUUUGGACACCAUCUAGGUUUUUUGGAAGUUUAUUCCUUGUCCCUGUGGUUUCUCAUCUUUGGGACGACAUCAUAGCUUCUUUCUAAGGUCAUUCAUUUUUACCUUCAGUUUGUCAUCAUUGGGAUGCCCCUUAGGCCCUAUCUAAGCUUAAUUGUUUGUUCCUUUAAUUUCUCAUCGUUUGGACACCAUCCUAGGUUCUGUCUAUGUUUAGUCUUUGUCCCUUUAGUUUCCUAUGAUUGGAACACCAUCUAGGUUUAAUCCAUGUUCAUUUGUCUUUUCCACUCGGUUUUCAUCAUUGGGAUAGCUUUCUAGGUUCUAUUAUGCUGAUUCCUUUUUUCCAUUUGUAACUAAUCACUGGGACUCGAUCCAUUGGUUUCUCACCGUUUCGACACCAUCUAGGUUUGAUGGAAGUUUAUUCUUUCUCCCUUUGGUUUCUCAUCUUUGCGACGACUUUGUAGCUUCUUUCUAUGGUCAUUCAUUCUUCAAUUUGGUUUUUCAUUAUUGGGACGCCCCGUAGGCCCUAUCUAAGCUUAAUUGUAUGUUCCUUUAAUUUCUCAUCGUUUAGACACCAUCCUAGGUUUUGUCUAUGUUUAUUCUUCAUCCCUUUCGUUUCCUAUUAUUGGAAUGGCAUCUAGGUUAUAUCUAAGUUCAUUUGUUUGUUCCACUUGUUUUCAAUCGUUUGGACUGCUUUUUAGGUUCUAUCUAAGCUCAUUCCUUUUUUCCAUUUGUAACUAAUCAUUUGGACAUGAAGCUUUGGUUUCUCAUUGUAACACCUAGUACUAAUGAAUUAAAUAGGCAAUAAUGAUUAUUUUAGUACUUAACUUUAAGCUUGCUUAAUUAGAUGUUAAAACUAUUUAGUGCUAAUCAUAUUUAAUUAUGAAUUAAACUUUGAUUAUGGUUAAGUGGGAUUAGUUAAUGACCUAAGCAUGCUUAUUAGGUUCUUAGGGACUAAUUAGGGUUAUGAAAACCUAAAGGACUAAUGGGCAAUUAUGGGUUUUAUUUUUGAUAACUUGAAGGACUAAAGUGCAAAAUUUGGAAAUUGGAGUUAGUGGAAUGCCACCUCCUACUUGGGUGAUUGGUGGCAGCCAUGUGGGCGGCCACCUCAUGCUUGGGUGCUUGGAGACCCCUUUAUAAGGGGGCUGCAGCUCGUUUUGCACCAUUUCACCUGCAGCAACUUGGGUUAGAGAGAGAAAGUGUAGAUUUGAGGUAAGCAAGUUGUUUAAUUUUGUAAUUUUCGUUUAUUUUGGUUCCUAAUGGUAUGUUGAAUAGAAUUAACGGUUAAAAUUGUGUAAAAGUUGAGUAUAAUUAGCUAUAAACCUGUUUUAGUUAAAAAUCACAAUUAAUUAAAGAUUAAAGUAUUUUAAGUUAAGUAUUUUAUUAAUGGUAAGAUCAGCAUAAAUCUUUGUUUAAUUUGGUUUGAUUGAAAAAUAGAUUAGUAAACAUGUGAUGAAUUGGGUUAUUUGGACACUUGGGAUUUGUUAAUAGGUUAGGCUUUAAGAAAAUCAAAAGAAUUAGUGUUUGGUAAUUAAUUAGGGAAAUUAAUAUGCAUUGUAAAUAUUGUUUAAUUCAAUUCAAAUUUGAUCUGAAAACAUGUAGGAUAUAGAUUAGAGAAUGUGAGAAUUAAAAAUUUGCAACAAUAAACUAUAUAAAUUUUCAUGGUUAGGAAACCUAAAUUAUGUUGUUUCAUUUCAGUUCCUCGUAAUAGGCAAAGAUCGCCUACUUAGAAGAAACACAAAAAGGAAGUCGGUGUAAGAUGCAGGUCAGAAGACCUAUGCAGGAAAGAAUGCUUGAGCAAUGCUUUACUGUGAUUGGAUGUUGUUUGCUCAUAUUGAAAGUCUUUUGAGGCCAUGCCUUUUGUAUCAAGACUACACCUUUUGUUGGAAUGAUGUAAUGUAUAUAUUUGUUAGAUACACUUGUAGUAUGGGCUACCCAUAGUAAACAAUGGGGUUUGGUAUAUGUAAAUUAAUGUUGUACAAGUUUCUUUUGUGAAACAAAACAUAUUUUGUUAACUUAAUAGUCACAAUGUUUAAUACAGGAUGUACUCUUUAUAA
This is a long non-coding RNA of Vitis vinifera (wine grape), 6694 nucleotides long. RefSeq lists it as uncharacterized. Lineage: Eukaryota; Viridiplantae; Streptophyta; Magnoliopsida; Vitales; Vitaceae. The transcript is spliced from 2 exons. The record is from RefSeq and is a predicted model, not a curated record.